CCAAACAUGACGGCUAACUCCGUCCUUUGCGA
Molecule: transfer RNA, 32 nt
Filed under: Craugastor fitzingeri (Fitzinger's robber frog)
Lineage: Eukaryota; Metazoa; Chordata; Amphibia; Anura; Craugastoridae
Description: partial tRNA-Met
Source: RNAcentral